GUAUUGCUUGGCAAGCUAUGUAGGAGCAGAACGCGAGUCUUUAAGCAAUGGACGUCGCGGGUUUCCUUUUAUGGCUAUUGAGGUGUGGUCAUCGAGACUAUUUAUACUUCGUCGCAGGUCCAUCGAUUUCAGAUCAUUUGGUGCCUUUACACUGUAACCAGCUCCGAGACUUUGCCAUUGUGUGCAGUUAUGGCCUCCAAGACGUUCGUGUUCCUUGUCAUUGUGACUCUUGCAUUUGCCGCCUUUACUGUUCCAGGAGAGGGCGCGCCGUCUGUGGCGCUCACUCGCAAUUCUAAGGCGGCCAAAGGCUGCUUUGGACUAUGCCCCAGCUUCUGUUCAGGAGGUUGCACGUGCUAUUGCUACCCUACUAGUAACGGCGGAGUCUACUGCUCGUGGAGGUGCAGCUUCUGAUGUGUCGUGUCAGCCGAUAGCAUCGAUCGAUAACCAGAUAAACCAUGACCAGGCCUUCUGACCCAUAGAUAUCUUUGUUUCGAUUUGUUAGAUCUUGUGAAAUGCUUUAGAACUUUGAUAUGGAAACAAUAAAUGCGUGAUAUUCAUUUAAAGUAUCUUGUAUUUAAUUUCUGUCCUAACAAACAACUGUGCAUAGAACUCAGUUUCGUUUA
Long non-coding RNA from Nematostella vectensis (starlet sea anemone), 623 nucleotides. RefSeq lists it as uncharacterized. NCBI's taxonomy places the organism in Eukaryota, Metazoa, Cnidaria, Anthozoa, Actiniaria, Edwardsiidae. The transcript is spliced from 4 exons. The record is from RefSeq and is a predicted model, not a curated record.